GUGCUUGCUUCGGCAGCACAUAUACUAAAAUUGGAACAAUACAGAGAUUAGCAUGGCCCCUGCACAAGGAUGAUACGCAAAUUCGUGGAACGUUCCGUAUUUUU
This 104-nucleotide small nuclear RNA is filed under the name Pteropus vampyrus (large flying fox). The record is from RNAcentral. Lineage: Eukaryota; Metazoa; Chordata; Mammalia; Chiroptera; Pteropodidae.